This 784-nucleotide small RNA is filed under the name Pongo abelii (Sumatran orangutan). RNAcentral describes it as "retained intron". Lineage: Eukaryota; Metazoa; Chordata; Mammalia; Primates; Hominidae. The record is from RNAcentral.
AUAAAAAAUACUUUCGCCUUCUCAUUUUUCUCUCAUUUUUUUCCUGCAUGGUAGCCCCAUUUUGACUCCAGAGUCUGUCUUUCUUAAUAUUUCAUAACCCUUCUGUGCUCCUUAUUAUCCUUCUGUUUUCUUGGCUAACAGGUAAGGAAGGAUUUGAGGUAAUGACUUUCCACAUAUUGCAGGGCUAUGUCACUCUUACCCUGAAGUAAACGUUGUUUGUGUGAACUGGCAUUUGUUUUUCAUUUGCUGCUUUCUAAUUCUUAUUCUGUCACCUCAGAAACUUGCUCUCUUAACUUGUCCCUAAGCUAAUUACAUUUUAUUCUGAAAUAAGUAUUAAUACCUAACAUUUAAUAUUAAUACUGUCCUAUGUGCAACUUACAAAUAUGUCAUAUAAGUAUAUAAAUUGACUUUACCUAUUAUAUGCAGAAAUUGAAGGGGGGAAUUUCUGUGUUUCUAGCUUUCUUGUUAAUGUGAAGGGCGGGGCAUUUUAUGUUUUUUCAGGAUUGCCUUAUUCAAUGAAGCAAGCUGGGUUUCCUUUGGGAAUAUUGCUUUUAUUCUGGGUUUCAUAUGUUACAGACUUUUCCCUUGUUUUAUUGAUAAAAGGAGGGGCCCUCUCUGGAACAGACACCUACCAGUCUUUGGUCAAUAAAACCUUCGGCUUUCCAGGGUAUCUGCUCCUCUCUGUUCUUCAGUUUUUGUAUCCUUUUAUAGCGAUGAUAAGUUACAAUAUAAUAGCUGGAGAUACUUUGAGCAAAGUUUUUCAAAGAAUCCCGGGAGGUAAGUC